AUUGUACUCCCUCCGUCCGAAAAUACUUGUCUGAGGAAUGGACAUACCUAGACAUAUUUUAGUGUUAGAUACAUCCAUUUUUAGUCAUUUCUGCGGCAAGUGUUUCCGGACGGAGAGAGUAACAG
Molecule: non-coding RNA, 125 nt
Organism: Triticum aestivum (bread wheat)
Lineage: Eukaryota; Viridiplantae; Streptophyta; Magnoliopsida; Poales; Poaceae
Source: Rfam